This is a long non-coding RNA of Daucus carota subsp. sativus, 1213 nucleotides long. RefSeq lists it as uncharacterized. The transcript has 2 exons. The record is from RefSeq and is a predicted model, not a curated record. NCBI's taxonomy places the organism in Eukaryota, Viridiplantae, Streptophyta, Magnoliopsida, Apiales, Apiaceae.
AUGAUUUUUGAGAAUUAGUUUUAAAAAUAGAGGGAGGCUGUAAAAAUAUUAUUUUUACAGUGCAGCUAUUUGAAGAUUUAUGCAAUUAUGUGAUUAUUUGAUUUAAUUAUGGUACAUGUUAAAUGAGCAAUUUUAUUGUUUAUUUUCUGUCCAAGUGGGCAAUCUAGAAUUUUGAUUUAUUUUAUUGUUUGAUUAAUCAAACUUUGUCUUUUGAUUUUGAAAAUCAAAAAUUAUUUUAGUUAAGGCCAACAAAAGUUUUAUUUUAAAUUUCAGGAAUAUUUUUUAGCCCCUAAUUGUUAAAGAUAGCCUUUAUUUUAAUUUGGGGGUGUGAAUUGUAGUAUAAAAUAAAUAAAAUUGUGGAUUUAGUUUCUUUGGUUUUAAAAAAAAAAACAAAAGGAGAAAGCCACAACAUAUCCGGGUAGCAACAGGCGGCGAUAGAAAGAGAGUAGCGGGGCUAGGGUUUCAAAAGAAAAGAGGGAAAAUCAGAGAGGGGAGAGAGAGAUCAAAUUGAUUGGGGCAAGGGUUGUUUGUAUAGACAUAUAAUCGUGUGUAUGCUGUUUGCUUGAGUUAUAUGUUAAUUGAUGUUGGUUGAGUUUGGUCUCGCGCGGCUUGAGUCGCCGGAGACGGGGUAGCGAUGGAGGAUUGCGUCUCCGGUGGUCGUGAUUUUAAAUAAUAGAGUGACGCCGACGAGUAGUGGCGGGCUGUGAUUUUAAUCCUAUGGUGGUUGUACAACAGGGGUCAGCGGCGGGGUCGGUUGUGACUAUGUCGCCGUAGCAGUUUGAAGGGGAUGGCUGUUGAGAGUCGAAACUACAGAGAUUGCUUUGAGUUGUGGGUUUUGAAAAGAAGGCCUAAUGGAGUUAACGAUGAGGUGGGUUGAAAAGUUGUGGCUCGAGAUAUUCUACACAGCUUCUGCCAAGGUUUUGCACAGAUAGGAAUUGGGAUGGUCACCUGUAUGAGCUGCGCGUAAGAGUAAUGCUAGGCGAGAGUGUCAGGGGUUUAAGUUUCAGCUUGAUGUUCAGGUCGUGCAUCGAGGGAGAUGUCCAGGAGAAUAAUUCUGGUUAGAAUUGCUCAACUUUAGUUGAGUUAUAUAGUAGAUUAAUUUAAUUUGUUUCCAGCUAUUCUUCUCAUUGAAGUCUACCUGGUAAUGUAGUUUAAGCUGUAAUAAGAUUUGAUAGCAGAUUCUGAUUUCAAUGCUGUAACCUGUUUGCGAUCC